This 73-nucleotide transfer RNA is filed under the name Klainedoxa gabonensis. RNAcentral's name for it is "tRNA-Phe". It matches the Rfam family "tRNA". From Rfam's summary of the family: Transfer RNA (tRNA) molecules are approximately 80 nucleotides in length. Their secondary structure includes four short double-helical elements and three loops (D, anti-codon, and T loops). Further hydrogen bonds mediate the characteristic L-shaped molecular structure. tRNAs have two regions of fundamental functional importance: the anti-codon, which is responsible for specific mRNA codon recognition, and the 3' end, to which the tRNAs corresponding amino acid is attached (by aminoacyl-tRNA synthetases). tRNAs cope with the degeneracy of the genetic code in two manners: having more than one tRNA (with a specific anti-codon) for a particular amino acid; and 'wobble' base-pairing, i.e. permitting non-standard base-pairing at the 3rd anti-codon position. Lineage: Eukaryota; Viridiplantae; Streptophyta; Magnoliopsida; Malpighiales; Irvingiaceae. The record is from RNAcentral.
GUCGGGAUAGCUCAGCAGGUAGAGCAGAGGACUGAAAAUCCUCGUGUCACCAGUUCGAAUCUGGUUCCUGGCA